AUGAUGUUCUUCUAUUCAUGUUUCAGGGAAUUUUUUUCGGGACAAAGGCAAGGGCAACCUAUAUUUAUUUGUGAACUUGAACCAAGUUCCUAUUUAUAUCCUAGAGUUCUCACAGUUUCUAACACAGUAGCAGCUUUAUAUUCUCUGUUGAUUUGCAAGCUAUCUGAAAAGAAAACAUUUAUUUAUGGGAAAGGCAGUCAACAGUCUGCUUCUUCUAAACAAUGUGCAUAUUUUUCACCUUAUUUUUUGUUUGUACUGCCACUGAUUGCAUGCAGCUGUUUUGUUAAUGCCUAUGCAAUUGAUUAUUCAUGA
This 312-nucleotide ribosomal RNA is filed under the name Triticum aestivum (bread wheat). RNAcentral's name for it is "partial small subunit ribosomal RNA". The record is from RNAcentral. Lineage: Eukaryota; Viridiplantae; Streptophyta; Magnoliopsida; Poales; Poaceae.